Papaver somniferum (opium poppy) is the source of this 1759-nucleotide RNA transcript. RefSeq lists it as uncharacterized. The record is from RefSeq and is a predicted model, not a curated record. NCBI's taxonomy places the organism in Eukaryota, Viridiplantae, Streptophyta, Magnoliopsida, Ranunculales, Papaveraceae. The transcript has 2 exons.
GUCGGUCGUUUCAUUUCUCCAGGAGUGCAGUGUAGAAGUAGAUUUCUAGGGUUUGAAAGAUUUUGGUAGGGUUUCUUACUUCAUUCUUCAAUCUCAUUCUCAAUCUUAAUUUCUAUGAAAUCAAUGGCAAGUAAAAGAAAGAAACAGAUAAGAACUCAACCAGAAACACAGAAUACAGUGAUGAUUUCGAAGAAGAAGAAAAAAGUCGAAAAUGAUGGUGAUUCCGAAGGAUUCAGUAAUACUCUUCCUCAUCUUUCUCAUGAUACUAUUAUAAAUGAUAUACUAACCAGAGUACCUAUUGAUAGUUUAAUGCGAUUCAAAUGUGUAUGCAAAUUGUGGCUUAAUUUGAUCUCCAAUGAUUCUGAAUUUAUCAAUAUGCAUGCUCGUCGAACUGGGACUCAUGGGUUUGGGUUUAUAUAUCUUCAAUUAGCUUAUACUGAUGAUGAUAGUGAAGUAGGUAGAGAAAUUGAUGAUGUUGAUGGUGUUAUCAAAUCUGAUGGUAUUGUUUUCUGUAAUAUUGAUAAGAAAGAAAACAAGGUUAUCCAUUUUAAACCUGAAACUGGUUUGGGAAAUAGGAAACUAGUAAUUCGACAUGCGCUCAAUGGUUUAGUUCUUUUAUCUCGCCAAGAAGAUGAUUUUGGUUUUACUCAACAUGUUUUUAACCCAAUUACUGGUUAUUCAGUUCAGCUUGCUGGUGUUUAUUAUGCUAUCACUGGUGAAAGAUAUUAUCACCUAGCUUAUGAUGCAGCUGCUGGAAGAGAGAGUUUAUCUUCAAACUUGUUACUGUAGGUGUUAAAGUGAUUCUUGGAGGGGUGUCGUUGCUCUAUCGUCUCCCCGUUUACGGGAUGAUUAUGAGGUGGUGUUUGCUAAUGGAUCUUUAAAUUGGUUGACUCAUGAUAGGUACGGUAUGGGUGGUUGUAAAGCUGAUCAGGGUAAAAUUCUUAGUCUUGAUGUUAGUAAAGAAAAAUUUUAUACCAUGGAUUACCCGAGGGGAGUUUCAGAUGCAUGUAAACUAUUGGAGAUGGGAGGAUCGCUUUGUUUCUUUGACUAUGAGUCCACCGGGAAGAUAAAAUUAUGGGUUUUGAAGGAGAAUGAGGAGAACCCGAGAAAACAAUAUCAGCAUACUGAAUGGUUGGAGUAUAAUAUUGAUAUAUUACAGAAUAAUGCUGUACCAAAACUCUUCCAUGAUUACGAAAGCAAUAACUGUGUUGGACUUGUUAAGAAUCCCACACUUCAGAUCAUAUUUUGGAAUAUUAUUUCGCACAUAUAUGAUGAGCCAGAUGAGAGGGGGUUUAUUAGUUGUUACAGUCCCGAGGACUACAGUUAUGAUGUUGAGUUGAAAACGUUUGCUUUCAUCUGUGACAAUAUCGGGACAUUUGUCAAGUGGGAUCUCAACUCCCUUGUCCACUUUCAAUCUACAUUUUCUGGUAGUUCGAUGGGUUAGAGAACAACUACAGUGAUGGAACAAGCAGGAUGCAGGCAGAAUCUCUAAGCUUGUUCACUGCAGUGCAGUGAUCUCAGGAGCUGGACAUUAGCAGGAAGCAUGAAUGUAGCUCAUGACUGUACAUUUAACUUAUUUAGAACUGGUCCUUCAAGUCUUAUAUGGAGGAUAGUAUAAUUAUGAGACUGUUCUGCUUGCUUUAGAAUGCUUUUGUCAUCUUGUUUGAUUACUCUGAAGCACUAGACAAUCUUUAGUACUCUUGUUAGUAAACUGCCCAACUGGUAUUUUUGUGUUUGGUAGGAAAAGAAGAAGUUGCAU